CCUCGAAUCAGGUAGGAAUACCCGCUGAACUUAAGCAUAUCAAUA
RNAcentral lists this ribosomal RNA (45 nucleotides) under Metarhizium flavoviride. RNAcentral's name for it is "partial 28S ribosomal RNA". The record is from RNAcentral. RNAcentral also lists the same sequence under 2 other names. Lineage: Eukaryota; Fungi; Ascomycota; Sordariomycetes; Hypocreales; Clavicipitaceae.